This 867-nucleotide ribosomal RNA is filed under the name Podaxis sp. PREM 29955. RNAcentral's name for it is "eukaryotic LSU rRNA". It matches the Rfam family "Eukaryotic large subunit ribosomal RNA", at positions 81 to 935 of the family's 3401-position model. The record is from RNAcentral. Lineage: Eukaryota; Fungi; Basidiomycota; Agaricomycetes; Agaricales; Agaricaceae.
UAGUAACUGCGAGUGAAGCGGGAAAAGCUCAAAUUUAAAAUCUGGCGGUCUCUGGCCGUCCGAGUUGUAAUCUAGAGAAGUGUUACCCGCGCUGGACCGUGUACAAGUCCCCUGGAAUGGGGCGUCAUAGAGGGUGAGAAUCCCGUCUCUGACACGGACUACCAGGGCUUUGUGGUAUGCUCUCAAAGAGUCGAGUUGUUUGGGAAUGCAGCUCAAAAUGGGUGGUAAAUUCCAUCUAAAGCUAAAUAUUGGCGAGAGACCGAUAGCGAACAAGUACCGUGAGGGAAAGAUGAAAAGAACUUUGGAAAGAGAGUUAAACAGUACGUGAAAUUGCUGAAAGGGAAACGCUUGAAGUCAGUCGCGUUGGCCGGGAAUCAGCCUCGCUUUUGCGUGGUGUACUUUCUGGUUGACGGGUCAGCAUCAAUUUUGACCGCUGGAAAAAGGCUUGGGGAAUGUGGCAGCUCCGGCUGUGUUAUAGCCCCUUGUCACAUACAGCGGUUGGGAUUGAGGAACUCAGCACGCCGCAAGGCCGGGUUUCGACCACGUUCGUGCUUAGGAUGCUGGCAUAAUGGCUUUAAGCGACCCGUCUUGAAACACGGACCAAGGAGUCUAACAUGCCUGCGAGUGUUUGGGUGGAAAACCCGAGCGCGUAAUGAAAGUGAAAGUUGAGAUCCCUGUCGUGGGGAGCAUCGACGCCCGGACCAGAACUUUUGGGACGGAUCCGCGGUAGAGCAUGUAUGUUGGGACCCGAAAGAUGGUGAACUAUGCCUGAAUAGGGUGAAGCCAGAGGAAACUCUGGUGGAGGCUCGUAGCGAUUCUGACGUGCAAAUCGAUCGUCAAAUUUGGGUAUAGGGGCGAAAGACUAAU